UGGGGAAUUUUGGACAAUGGGCGAAAGCCUGAUCCAGCAAUGCCGCGUGUGUGAAGAAGGCCUUCGGGUUGUAAAGCACUUUUGUCCGGAAAGAAAUCCUUGGCUCUAAUACAGUCGGGGGAUGACGGUACCGGAAGAAUAAGCACCGGCUAACUACGUGCCAGCAGCCGCGGUAAUACGUAGGGUGCAAGCGUUAAUCGGAAUUACUGGGCGUAAAGCGUGCGCAGGCGGUUUGCUAAGACCGAUGUGAAAUCCCCGGGCUCAACCUGGGAGCUGCAUUGGUGACUGGCAGGCUAGAGUAUGGCAGAGGGGGGUAGAAUUCCACGUGUAGCAGUGAAAUGCGUAGAGAUGUGGAGGAAUACCGAUGGCGAAGGCAGCCCCCUGGGCCAAUACUGACGCUCAUGCACGAAAGCGUGGGGAGCAAACAGGAUUAGAUACCCUGGUAGUCCACGCCCUAAACGAUGUCAACUAGUUGUUGGGGGAUUCAUUUCCUUAGUAACGUAGCUAACGCGUGAAGUUGACCGCCUGGGGAGUAC
This 536-nucleotide ribosomal RNA is filed under the name uncultured bacterium. RNAcentral's name for it is "partial 16S ribosomal RNA". It matches the Rfam family "Bacterial small subunit ribosomal RNA", at positions 355 to 883 of the family's 1533-position model. The record is from RNAcentral.